Molecule: unclassified non-coding RNA, 205 nt
Filed under: Hevea brasiliensis (rubber tree)
Lineage: Eukaryota; Viridiplantae; Streptophyta; Magnoliopsida; Malpighiales; Euphorbiaceae
Source: RNAcentral
GAAACAAUCCAUAGUUUCACAGAACAAUGAGAUAUGGAAAUGGACCACUAAUGGCAACAGGAAGUCAGAUGCAUUGAAAGCAUAUCACUGGUGCAUGACACGUGUGCACUCACACAAUACAGUAAAAAAUAUAAGUGAAAGAAGAAAGUCCAUGAUCUUGUGUUCUGAUUUUAGAUUGUGUUGGUAAUCAUUUUGAACAUUUGGC